UUCUUGGUUCCAUUAGAGGAAGUAAAAGUCGUAACAAGGUCUCCGUAGGUGAACCUGCGGAGGGAUCAUUACACAAUAACCAGGCGGGCUGGACACCCCCCGCUGGGCACUGCUUCACGGCGUGCGCGGCGGGGCCGGCCCUGCUGAAUUAUUCACCCGUGUCUUUUGCGUACUUCUUGUUUCCUGGGUGGGCUCGCCCGCCCUCAGGACCAACCACAAACCUUUUGCAAUAGCAAUCAGCGUCAGUAACAACGUAAUUAAUUACAACUUUCAACAACGGAUCUCUUGGUUCUGGCAUCGAUGAAGAACGCAGCGAAAUGCGAUACGUAGUGUGAAUUGCAGAAUUCAGUGAAUCAUCGAAUCUUUGAACGCACAUUGCGCCCUUUGGUAUUCCAAAGGGCAUGCCUGUUCGAGCGUCAUUUGUACCCUCAAGCUUUGCUUGGUGUUGGGCGUCUUUUGUCUCCAGUUCGCUGGAGACUCGCCUUAAAGUCAUUGGCAGCCGGCCUACUGGUUUCGGAGCGCAGCACAAGUCGCACUCUUCGCCAGCCAAGGUCAGCGUCCAGCAAGCCUUUUUUUCAACCUUGACCUCGAUCAGGAGGA
This 600-nucleotide ribosomal RNA is filed under the name Alternaria infectoria. Its description in RNAcentral is "eukaryotic LSU rRNA". The stretch from base 266 to 419 matches the Rfam family "5.8S ribosomal RNA". The record is from RNAcentral. Lineage: Eukaryota; Fungi; Ascomycota; Dothideomycetes; Pleosporales; Pleosporaceae.